GAUGUUGUACGACUCGUGUUCCAGAACGAUGUCUGUUUAUCGAGUUAAACGAUGGCUAUCGAAAGCAUUAGCCUAAUUCCUCGUGUCUCUGCCUCGAAACGUAAUUCCUGCAAUUCAGAAAUACGAGAAUACGUGCAAUUGGAUGCAACGGGUGGAAGAGCGCAACAAAUGUUUCACUCAACACCGUGACAAGUUCAUCCUUUGUGGACUUCCGUUACAAAUUGCAUCGAUGACGGAUCACCCUAUCUCCGGGGAAACGGUGGUAAGAAAAAGUUUGCCAUCCGGUCUGGCCGUAGUUUCCAGUUAAAAAGUGAUUGCACCGAGAUGGGGCUAUUUGCGAAGAAGAUUGCAAGAGGGCCGAUGGAAUUACGCAGCGCGACGAUGAAAUACUUUUCCGCAUCGUUGUGGGACGAGGAGGCGAAUACAAUGAAAGGGGCGAAUUCCGGCUUGCUGUUCCCUGUUCGCCGGACCUUUAAUUACAACCGAUGUCGCCAUAGUUGGCUCACCACUCCUGGAGCCGUGUUAAAAUGGAGAACAAUUUAAUAACAUAUUCGAAUAAUUAUUUAACAGUGGUGAGAUUAGAAAGAAUUCGUUCAUUUUUUUCUCCUUUAUUUCAAAAAAAUAUCAAUUACCAACGACAAAUGUUCGAGAGAAGAUGAGUGAAAAUAAUCUGCGAAAAUAAUCAAACGAGAGAUCGCUGAAAUUUUAUUAAUAUCAAAGUUCGACUGAGAAAAAAAAUACAUUUAUUUUUUUUAAAAUUCCACUUCGUGAAAAAGUCGUCUUAUCAUAGGACAAAUCAUAGGAUGUUUCGCAAUAUUCGUGUGAGAUAAACUUUCAUCGAAUACGAAUGCACGAAUGUAAAAACCAAGAAAAUAUAUGAGCCAAGUUCAAAUCCAUGA
Molecule: long non-coding RNA, 899 nt
Organism: Apis cerana (Asiatic honeybee)
Lineage: Eukaryota; Metazoa; Arthropoda; Insecta; Hymenoptera; Apidae
Source: RefSeq, a predicted model, not a curated record